This 3189-nucleotide long non-coding RNA is filed under the name Homo sapiens (human). RNAcentral describes it as "long non-coding RNA NONHSAT210046.1". Lineage: Eukaryota; Metazoa; Chordata; Mammalia; Primates; Hominidae. The record is from RNAcentral.
AUGGAGCCGCUGUUGUUAACCAUGUUAACUUCUUCAGAGGAAAGGGAGGUGCUCCUGCUGUCUCCGCUUCUUACCGAGUUCCCAUUGAGGAGGAAGCCAGGGAAAAAUAGAACUCAGAGAGCGACAGCAAGAUGAAAUUUUCCCUUUAAGGUCAAAAGCGUGCCUGGAAAGUGUGCCCCUUGGGGAAUAUAUUUCAGUGACAGAAAAAAAAAAAAACAGAAAAAUGAAGCCUGUAGAAUUCUUGAACUUCCCAUAUGUGCUAGGUGCACCCUAGGAAGUGGGGAAGACAGGAAGAUUCGGGAAGCAUGGGCUGUGUCCUCCAGAAGCUUAAAACACAAGAUACCAUUUUAGACACAAGAUACAGAGCAUUAAAGAAGUUAAAUAGUGAAAAGAGACCAUUUCUCAGGACCACAAUGGAAGCACUGCUGCGUGCGGGCAGUCUAUGGCUAACUGACAAGUCACCACAGAGAGGAGGAGGCCAUGCGGGGCAGCUGGGAGCAGGUGUGCUCAGGCGAUCCCUCCCCUGGCAGGUAAGUGUCCCUCCUCUGUCUUCCUGGGAAACUGCACCUGGACUGAGCUUCGGGGAUAGGUUUCGACAGGGCCAAAAAACAGAAGAGCAGGAAAACAUUCCACAACGUUUCUAUCUGCAAAUCAAGCAAGCGCUUGGGCGAACAUCUUCCCAAGGCAGAGAUGAAGAAUGGAUUUCAGCUACAGAAGGCAGGAAUCCUUUGGACUUGGCCCUUUAUCAGUGGAAUGGACAGAGCAGCUCUCGGUGGGGUCUCUGUUGGGAAUGCCUGCUGAGACGGGACCAAGGACGGCUGCAGGAUGUGGUGUCUGUGCUCAGCGUCACCUCCUCCCAGGCUCCUGGGAAGCACCUGAGCAUCUCCUGACAAAGCCACCAUGAGCAAGACCCUCAGAGAAGGUAUGAAGAUGAGAGGCUGGUGUGAAGAGGCUGCUGUGAAGCAACUAUAUAGCAUCGGGCAGGACAUAAGGGGAAAUUGUUGCUUUCAUGUUCCUUUACCCCCACAGUUUGGAUUUCUGCCACAAGGAUCACUGUGGUCUUCCUCCCUGGGGCUCACUCCACCUACCCCACACCUCCCACCUCCCCCGUCCUCUCUUGGGGGACUUCCUGAGUUCUCGACAGAGCAGUUUCACUGUCUUCUCUCCACGCUUCCUGGACUGGCCCGCCCAUUUUUUUCUAUGACCCAGAAUUCCUUCCCAAAUAAGAGCGUCAUAUUCCUUGAGCCCCUUCACUAGAAGCAAGGAGAUGGGCAGGCGUUGAACUGCGGCUUUUCUCUAGACUCUUCCCUAAUCCCUAGGUUCCCCCAACUAUUUAGUCUAGAGCAAGCCCAGGAACAGUGAUUUUUUUUUUUUAACCUGCCAUUUCUGUUAUUCAAGCUGUUUUAGUCAGUUCAGGCUGCUGUAACAAAAAUGCAAUGGCCUGGGUGGUUUUAACAACAGAAAUGGAUUUCUCACAGUUCUUGUGAGGCUGGGACGCAGGAACCCCCACAUCCAAGUGCCAGGCAGUUCCGUGGCUGGGAGGGCUCCAGACUGGUGUGUGGAUGGCACCUUCUGCUGUGUCCUCACAUGGCUGAGAGAUGGGUCAUCUCUGUUCUUAUCAGGGCACUAAUCCCAUUCACAAGGCCCCCCAUGACCUAAUCACCUCCUAAAUGCCCCGCUUCCUAAUACCAGCACCUUGGAAAAUAGGGCUUCAAGAUACAAAUUUUGGGGGACUCAAACAUUCCAUCCAUAGCACCCGCUCAUGUGCUGUGAUGUCCAGUGAGCAGGCGGAGUUCCAGGGCUGGUCAGUGCCAGGUGCUCCUUCUCCCACCCGAGAACAGGGGCCAGGUUGCUCCUCAGGCACCCUGGGCAACUGCCCCUUCCCUUCCAGUGGGGCCUGACCUGGCUACCGAGCUUGGCAGCUAAUAGGCGGGCCCCUCAGCAUUCACGCUCCUGAGCUGCUUUAUCAAACUAGGAUUGUUCCCCCAGGUCUAAGAAAACCAUCCAUUCACUGCAAAGUUAUUUAUUACUGCGGAUGGGCUAGGAGUUAGAGGAAGAGAGUGACUCAAAUCACAACACCUCCUGGACGAAGCUGGAAGGGAUUAAAAUACGGCCUAAUUUCUCCCUUGCUGUGUGAAGCGUGUGGUUCUCCUAGAACAUCAGCCCGACUGUCGCUGGGUAGCGGCGGUACUGUUCAUUCUGCAUUAGCUUUGUCCAGAUUGUUCAGUGUGGGUCCCUGCCUACAGAUCUUGAUUCCUUGAGAUUGCCCUUUGUGCUUCUGUCUGGGGACUGCCUGUUUCUGUAAUGGCCACCGUCUCAGAACACAUGGUUGUAGGCCUCAGCAUUUGCCUUACACACAGCCCCCUUGGAGACAAACCGUGUCUGUGUCCCUCAGAAGGCCCUGACUUUCAGGGCACACUCCAGCCUGACUUUGGCACUCUGCUAGACACAUCCGAAACGCUGGUUCUCGUGUUGAAGUCUGUUAUGGAUAUGUAGGGUAAGGCAGGGAAACUGGAGCGCCUGCAUACCCUUGACUUCCUCCAUUUGGAAAAGAUAACCCUGAGACAUGGUGGAGGAGAAGGGGCCCUGACCUGUCAGCUACAUCUGGAUGUAACUCCCCUGAUGAAGAAAGUGCCAGAGGCAGCAAAGCAGCCCUUAUAGGGUAUUUUGUGCUCCCCCAACAGAGGAAGAGGAGCUUAGGGUCUCCAGGGAGAAUGUCUGGUUGUGAAGAGCCGCCAGGACCUGGAGCUGCACGGUUGCUCAGUGUGCAUUUCACUUGGUCAGCCCCUACGCUGGAGAGUGCUUGCAUCCGAACCUUCAGUGCCUGGAUAGACACUGAGCUGAGCGAACGGUAUGCUGGAAAAUGAAGCGUGCAAGUGACAAAGUGCUCAACUUAGACUCUGGGCAAAAUUCUCACAAAGGGCUUUCUAAUCCUCACUUAAUGGAAGAGUGGAGCAAUUUCCAGCAGAAGUUGUGGCUUGCUUCACCAGGUCUGCUCAGGUCAGCGGGGUGAGCCUACGGCCAGGAUGGGUGGUAAUUAAUAUUGGAAUACUUGGCCAGUCUGCAGACCUCAGACCACAAAAAACCCUCCAUCCUCAAGCAGUCUCUUCUUUAUGCCUCGCAAGGGGAAGAUAAUUAAAGACUGUGGUAACGGGUUAAUUUAUAGGAAAAUAAUGUAGCAUACUCAAC